UCCCUGACCCAUCGAGCGAAAUUGCGCCGAAAAUGAUCGGGACUUAAGCCGUAUACCGAAGCUAUGGGUUUACCGUAAGGUAAGCAGUAGGAAAGCGUUCCAAGUGCAGCGAAGUGGAAGGGUAACCGACCAUGGAGCGCUUGGAAGUGAGAAUGCAGACAUAAGUAACGAUAAAGAUGGUUGAAUUCCAUCUCGCCUAAAUCCCAAGGAUUCCUGGGGAAGGUUCGUCCUCCCAGGGUUAGUCGGGUGCUAAGACGAGGCCGUAAGGAGUAGUCGAUGCCAAGCUGGUUUAAUAUUCCAGCACCACUCGAAACCGUUUGAUCCAUAGAGUGACGGAGAAAGUUAACAGAGCAACGUGUUGAAUCGUUGUCUACGCUCGUAGGCUGUUCGGGGAUAAAAUACCGAAUAAGGCCGUAAAGUAAUGGGACCUCAAAGCUACGGCUGAGAGGGAUUCUGUGAUACUAUGCUUCCAAGAAAAACUUUGUGGUUAGGCCAAGAGUGCCCGUACCGUAAACCGACACAGGUGGGAAAGAUGAGUAUUCUAAGGCGCGCGAGUCAAAUCUCUCUAAGGAACUCGGCAAAUUAACCCCGUAUCUUCGGUAUAAGGGGUGCCUCGAAAGAGGCCGCAGUUAAUUGCGUCAACCGACUGUUUAGCAAAAACACAGCACUCUGCUAAGUCGCAAGACGACGUAUAGGGUGUGACACGUGACCAAUGCGGAAAGGUGAAAGUCUAGGGUGCAAGCUCUGGAUCUAAGCCCCCGUGAAUGUCGGCCGUAACUAUAACGGUCCUAAGGUAGCGAAAUUCCUUGUCGGGUAAGUUCCGACCCGCACGAAUCGUGUAACGAGUUGACGACUGUCUCGGAGAGAGGCUCGGUGAAAUUGUAGUGGCGGUGAAGAUGCCGCCUACCCGCAGCAGGACGGAAAGACCCUAUGCACCUUUACUGUAAGCUGUUAUUGUCGCUUGAUUUUUAAUACGUAGAAUAGGUGGGAGACUUCGAAGCUUGGUCUCAGGAUCAGGCUGAGUCACAAUGUGAAAUACCACUUUUUAAUUGUUAGGCGUCUAACCUCACACCAUUAUCUGGUUGAGGGACAGUGAUAGCAGGUCAGUUUUUCUGGGGCGGAAUCCUCCCAAAAAGUAACGGAGGAUUACGAAGGUUCCCUCGGCCCGGUCGGUAAUCGGGCUAUAGAGCGCAUGAGUAUAAGGGAGCUUUACUGUGAGACCAACAAGUCGAGCAGUUGCGAAAGCAGGUUCAAGUGAUCCGGUGGUUGAAUGUGGAAUCGCCAUCGCUCAUAGGACAAAAGGUACGCUAGGGAUAACAGGCUGAUCGCGCCCAAGCGUUCACAGCGACGGCGCGGUUUGGCACCUCGAUGUCGGCUCAUCACAUCCUGGGGCUAAAAG
This 1399-nucleotide ribosomal RNA is filed under the name metagenome. RNAcentral's name for it is "bacterial LSU rRNA". It matches the Rfam family "Bacterial large subunit ribosomal RNA", at positions 1138 to 2559 of the family's 2925-position model. The record is from RNAcentral.